AUGCCGUCUGCGAUCGAUCCACCGAUGUCAUCAUCACGGGCCAACCACGACGGCGCAUCAGCCAUCGCUGAUGCUGCUGCCUCCGCCGCCAGCUCCGAAGACGACGUCUCUCCAUGGUCGUCUCUGCAUGCAGAUUUGGUUCGUCAACUCGGCUGGGAGGUGCUGGCCGGAGAUAUACUGGACUAUGUCCGAUUUCGUGCCGUGUGCGCCCACUGGCGGUCCAGCACCGUCGCGCCGCGGGGGCACGGCAUCGUCGACCCACGCUUCCACCCCAAGAGGUGGUUCCUGCUGCCCGAGGGUCACGGCCUGCACCCUGCUGACGGCAAGAAACGUUUCUUCAAUCUCUCCACAGGAGUUUUCGUCCGUGUCUUGCUCCCCUUCUUAAGCGAUAGCUAUGUCCUUGACUCGGCCGAUGGCCUCCUCCUCUUGCAACGGAAAAGCCAAGACACCUCCGCGAUCCGGCUCCUCCACCCUUUCACCGACGACUUUGCGGAGCUACCACCGCCCAUGUCCCUUGUAAGAGCUAACUUGGAUAUGUCCGAUGGCACACGACGGGUUGAUUUCCGUAGUGUCACUUCCAUUAGCGUCACUGUUGAUGGAGUCGUCGCAGUCAUGAUCAAGCUUUACAAUAUAUCACGUGUAUUCUUUGCUACUACUAAGGACCGGCAGUGGAGUGUCUCGACUUGGAAUAUCGGAUGGUUGAUUGCCACGUGUCCCACUAACAAAAUUUCUGGCAUGUUCUACAUGGAAGAUUGUGUCUCGGAGAUCCUAGUGAUUGGUCAGGAUGCUAACCCAUUUUUCAAGGGCCGCUUGGUCGUCUACAAAGUAGCCGAUCUUAUCAUGGGCAAGGUUAUCCCGGUAACAAGCAUCGGAGGUAAUACUCUCUUCACUACAAUUGACAAUGGAAUUAGCAUUGACGAUAAUGAUAUCUCUGUUUAUGUGAGGGAGACUAUUGUUGUGAGUUACAAGCCCAUACCUACUGCUAUGGGCGACACCAUUGUACGCCGUCGGCGUCUCAAGGAUAAUUCUCCUUUGUACUACGACCUCUUUAGCGGCGAAUGGUCCCAAGGACCGGCCAUGGAGUGUGCUGAUGUGACGACUCCAUCAAUACUCACGCUCAUGGAGGUGACACCACUGAAAGCAACAUGUCUCCUGCCAUUUGACAUAUCGAAGUUGGCCCUUACCAAGGACAUGAGCGGCGGUAGCUCCACAAAGUCGCCGGUGAAAGGGUGGAGGAUAUGCAUACAGUGCUUAAAAGUUGGAAAACGUUUCACGCCAGCGCGCCCGCCGAAACUUUGAGCGCCCUCCGCCAUUGCUGCUCCCACCGCCCGUGACGUGGCUACACCAUGGUCUUCUCUCCCCACAGAUUUGGUCUGCCUUGUCAGCUGGCGGGUGCUGGCCAGAGACCUGCUGGACUACGUCCGCUUCCGGGCCGUGUGCGCGCACUGGCGGUCCAGCACCGUCUACCCGCACGGACGUGGCAUCGUCGAUGCCCGCUUUCACCUGCGCCGGUGGAUGAUUUUGCCCGAGGGUCACGGCAUUCACCCUCGCAUCGACAAGAGACGGUUCGUGAAUCUCGCGACCGGAGUCUUCGCUUGCGUCUCGCUGCAUCUCUUCAUGGACCAUCAUGUCCUUGAUUCGGUCGACGGCCUCCUUGUCCUCUACAAAGCUAACGCCAAGACCUUGAUCCUAAACCCCUUCACCGGCGACGUUGUGAAGCUCCCGCCGCUCAUGAAAUCCCACUGGAACCUAGAUAUAGGGGGACGGUAUGAUUCGGUGCAGCUCAAGUUCAUCACAUCCUUGAGCGUGAGCGCGGAUGGAGUCAUCACAGUCAUGAUCGUGCAUCAAUAUAUGCGCCGUGUAGUUUUUGCUACCACCAAUGACCAGCUGUGGAGGGUCUCGAAUUGGAGCCUCUCACCCUUGUCCAUACCCAUAUCAUUCCAAGGAAAGUUUUAUAUACUGGAGCCUCAUACUAUGGGUAGCAGCGGACGACCGAUACUACAACUUGACCCGCCUAUUUAUGAGUACUAG
This 2031-nucleotide ribosomal RNA is filed under the name Triticum aestivum (bread wheat). Its description in RNAcentral is "partial small subunit ribosomal RNA". The record is from RNAcentral. Lineage: Eukaryota; Viridiplantae; Streptophyta; Magnoliopsida; Poales; Poaceae.